This 2623-nucleotide ribosomal RNA is filed under the name Escherichia coli. RNAcentral's name for it is "partial 23S ribosomal RNA". It matches the Rfam family "Bacterial large subunit ribosomal RNA". Lineage: Bacteria; Pseudomonadati; Pseudomonadota; Gammaproteobacteria; Enterobacterales; Enterobacteriaceae. The record is from RNAcentral.
GGGUUGUGAGGUUAAGCGACUAAGCGUACACGGUGGAUGCCCUGGCAGUCAGAGGCGAUGAAGGACGUGCUAAUCUGCGAUAAGCGUCGGUAAGGUGAUAUGAACCGUUAUAACCGGCGAUUUCCGAAUGGGGAAACCCAGUGUGAUUCGUCACACUAUCAUUAACUGAAUCCAUAGGUUAAUGAGGCGAACCGGGGGAACUGAAACAUCUAAGUACCCCGAGGAAAAGAAAUCAACCGAGAUUCCCCCAGUAGCGGCGAGCGAACGGGGAGCAGCCCAGAGCCUGAAUCAGUGUGUGUGUUAGUGGAAGCGUCUGGAAAGGCGCGCGAUACAGGGUGACAGCCCCGUACACAAAAAUGCACAUACUGUGAGCUCGAUGAGUAGGGCGGGACACGUGGUAUCCUGUCUGAAUAUGGGGGGACCAUCCUCCAAGGCUAAAUACUCCUGACUGACCGAUAGUGAACCAGUACCGUGAGGGAAAGGCGAAAAGAACCCCGGCGAGGGGAGUGAAAAAGAACCUGAAACCGUGUACGUACAAGCAGUGGGAGCACGCUUAGGCGUGUGACUGCGUACCUUUUGUAUAAUGGGUCAGCGACUUAUAUUCUGUAGCAAGGUUAACCGAAUAGGGGAGCCGAAGGGAAACCGAGUCUUAACUGGGCGUUAAGUUGCAGGGUAUAGACCCGAAACCCGGUGAUCUAGCCAUGGGCAGGUUGAAGGUUGGGUAACACUAACUGGAGGACCGAACCGACUAAUGUUGAAAAAUUAGCGGAUGACUUGUGGCUGGGGGUGAAAGGCCAAUCAAACCGGGAGAUAGCUGGUUCUCCCCGAAAGCUAUUUAGGUAGCGCCUCGUGAAUUCAUCUCCGGGGGUAGAGCACUGUUUCGGCAAGGGGGUCAUCCCGACUUACCAACCCGAUGCAAACUGCGAAUACCGGAGAAUGUUAUCACGGGAGACACACGGCGGGUGCUAACGUCCGUCGUGAAGAGGGAAACAACCCAGACCGCCAGCUAAGGUCCCAAAGUCAUGGUUAAGUGGGAAACGAUGUGGGAAGGCCCAGACAGCCAGGAUGUUGGCUUAGAAGCAGCCAUCAUUUAAAGAAAGCGUAAUAGCUCACUGGUCGAGUCGGCCUGCGCGGAAGAUGUAACGGGGCUAAACCAUGCACCGAAGCUGCGGCAGCGACGCUUAUGCGUUGUUGGGUAGGGGAGCGUUCUGUAAGCCUGCGAAGGUGUGCUGUGAGGCAUGCUGGAGGUAUCAGAAGUGCGAAUGCUGACAUAAGUAACGAUAAAGCGGGUGAAAAGCCCGCUCGCCGGAAGACCAAGGGUUCCUGUCCAACGUUAAUCGGGGCAGGGUGAGUCGACCCCUAAGGCGAGGCCGAAAGGCGUAGUCGAUGGGAAACAGGUUAAUAUUCCUGUACUUGGUGUUACUGCGAAGGGGGGACGGAGAAGGCUAUGUUGGCCGGGCGACGGUUGUCCCGGUUUAAGCGUGUAGGCUGGUUUUCCAGGCAAAUCCGGAAAAUCAAGGCUGAGGCGUGAUGACGAGGCACUACGGUGCUGAAGCAACAAAUGCCCUGCUUCCAGGAAAAGCCUCUAAGCAUCAGGUAACAUCAAAUCGUACCCCAAACCGACACAGGUGGUCAGGUAGAGAAUACCAAGGCGCUUGAGAGAACUCGGGUGAAGGAACUAGGCAAAAUGGUGCCGUAACUUCGGGAGAAGGCACGCUGAUAUGUAGGUGAAGUCCCUCGCGGAUGGAGCUGAAAUCAGUCGAAGAUACCAGCUGGCUGCAACUGUUUAUUAAAAACACAGCACUGUGCAAACACGAAAGUGGACGUAUACGGUGUGACGCCUGCCCGGUGCCGGAAGGUUAAUUGAUGGGGUCAGCGCAAGCGAAGCUCUUGAUCGAAGCCCCGGUAAACGGCGGCCGUAACUAUAACGGUCCUAAGGUAGCGAAAUUCCUUGUCGGGUAAGUUCCGACCUGCACGAAUGGCGUAAUGAUGGCCAGGCUGUCUCCACCCGAGACUCAGUGAAAUUGAACUCGCUGUGAAGAUGCAGUGUACCCGCGGCAAGACGGAAAGACCCCGUGAACCUUUACUAUAGCUUGACACUGAACAUUGAGCCUUGAUGUGUAGGAUAGGUGGGAGGCUUUGAAGUGUGGACGCCAGUCUGCAUGGAGCCGACCUUGAAAUACCACCCUUUAAUGUUUGAUGUUCUAACGUUGACCCGUAAUCCGGGUUGCGGACAGUGUCUGGUGGGUAGUUUGACUGGGGCGGUCUCCUCCUAAAGAGUAACGGAGGAGCACGAAGGUUGGCUAAUCCUGGUCGGACAUCAGGAGGUUAGUGCAAUGGCAUAAGCCAGCUUGACUGCGAGCGUGACGGCGCGAGCAGGUGCGAAAGCAGGUCAUAGUGAUCCGGUGGUUCUGAAUGGAAGGGCCAUCGCUCAACGGAUAAAAGGUACUCCGGGGAUAACAGGCUGAUACCGCCCAAGAGUUCAUAUCGACGGCGGUGUUUGGCACCUCGAUGUCGGCUCAUCACAUCCUGGGGCUGAAGUAGGUCCCAAGGGUAUGGCUGUUCGCCAUUUAAAGUGGUACGCGAGCUGGGUUUAGAACGUCGUGAGACAGUUCGGUCCCUA